UACGGGGGGAGCAAGCGUUGUUCGGAUUUACUGGGCGUAAAGGGCGGGUAGGCGGCCACCGCAAGUCAGUUGUGAAAUCUCUGGGCUUAACCCAGAAAGGUCAACUGAUACUGCGGGGCUAGAGUGCAGAAGGGGCAACUGGAAUUCUCGGUGUAGCGGUGAAAUGCGUAGAUAUCGAGAGGAACACCAAUAGCGAAGGCAGCUCGCUGGGACGUUACUGACACUGAGGCGCGAAAGCGUGGGGAGCGAACAGG
This 254-nucleotide ribosomal RNA is filed under the name uncultured bacterium. RNAcentral's name for it is "partial 16S ribosomal RNA". It matches the Rfam family "Bacterial small subunit ribosomal RNA", at positions 524 to 776 of the family's 1533-position model. The record is from RNAcentral.